GGGUGACUAGUAUAGUGGUCAGUACACUUCGUUGUGGUAAUUCCUUAUAUCAGGAAGCUUCAAUUCCGAAGAAACCCAGGUUCGAUUCCUGGGUCGCCCA
Molecule: non-coding RNA, 100 nt
Organism: Podospora conica
Lineage: Eukaryota; Fungi; Ascomycota; Sordariomycetes; Sordariales; Podosporaceae
Source: the annotation of a GenBank genome assembly